This 253-nucleotide ribosomal RNA is filed under the name uncultured bacterium. RNAcentral's name for it is "partial 16S ribosomal RNA". It matches the Rfam family "Bacterial small subunit ribosomal RNA", at positions 524 to 776 of the family's 1533-position model. The record is from RNAcentral.
UACGGAGGGCGCAAGCGUUGUUCGGAAUCAUUGGGCGUAAAGCGCAUGUAGGCGGCGUGGCAAGUCGGGUGUGAAAUCCCGGGGCUCAACCCCGGAACUGCAUUCGAUACUGCCUCGCUAGAGUCCCGGAGAGGAAGGCGGAAUUCCCGGUGUAGAGGUGAAAUUCGUAGAUAUCGGGAGGAACACCAGUGGCGAAGGCGGCCUUCUGGACGGUGACUGACGCUGAGAUGCGAAAGCGUGGGGAGCAAACAGG